This 198-nucleotide unclassified non-coding RNA is filed under the name Paraglomus sp. Its description in RNAcentral is "partial contains 5.8S ribosomal RNA and internal transcribed spacer 2". The stretch from base 1 to 66 matches the Rfam family "5.8S ribosomal RNA", at positions 84 to 154 of the family's 154-position model. Lineage: Eukaryota; Fungi; Glomeromycota; Glomeromycetes; Paraglomerales; Paraglomeraceae. The record is from RNAcentral.
GUGAAUCAUCGAAUCUUUGAACGCAAAUUGCGCCUUCUUUCGGGAGGCAUGGCUGUUUGAGGGCACCAUUUAAAAAAUAAUGUGCGGGUCGUUAUGCGGAGUGCACACGUUGUUGAGCUUUUCCGAAAAACCAGGUUUUUUUGGUGGCGCAUAAUGAAUAGGGUGGGCUUUUUCUUUCUAUUCUCGUGUUGUAUUUAU